Molecule: ribosomal RNA, 253 nt
Filed under: uncultured bacterium
Lineage: Bacteria
Description: partial 16S ribosomal RNA
Rfam family: Bacterial small subunit ribosomal RNA
Source: RNAcentral
UACGUAGGGUGCAAGCGUUGUCCGGAAUUAUUGGGCGUAAAGAGCUCGUAGGCGGUCUGUCACGUCGGCUGUGAAAACCCGAGGCUCAACUUCGGGCCUGCAGUCGAUACGGGCAAACUAGAGUACUGCAGGGGAGACUGGAAUUCCUGGUGUAGCGGUGAAAUGCGCAGAUAUCAGGAGGAACACCGGUGGCGAAGGCGGGUCUCUGGGCAGUAACUGACGCUGAGGAGCGAAAGCGUGGGGAGCGAACAGG